Molecule: long non-coding RNA, 858 nt
Filed under: Olea europaea subsp. europaea
Lineage: Eukaryota; Viridiplantae; Streptophyta; Magnoliopsida; Lamiales; Oleaceae
Source: RNAcentral
UUUAUACCAACUUUUGGCAUCUGUAUUUUUAGUUAAGCUCAUAAAUCAUUAUACUACUUUAUGUGCAAUUAUUAUUGACUAAUGUGUGUUCACCUUUCAAAUCUUCUUUCAUGGAGAUGUGCAGUGACUAAUGUUUGCGAUUUUCUUAUGAGAUCUAUUUAUUUACAUGAGUGCUCUUUUCUGAUGUGUUAAUUGAUACAUUCCAUGUGAUUGCAGUGAUGAUGAUAGUGAAUUUGACCCUGGGAAUGAAAGGACUUGUUCAUGCACAAUAAUGUAGUUUGGGUUUCUAUUAGGACAUCUUAUGGGCUUGGCUUCUUUAAGAAGGCAACGAAUGAAAUGUUUGCUCAAAAUUCCACCGAGUAAAGAUCAACUUAUCAGUGCUUUGCAUUGCAAUUGGAGCAACACAGGAGAUUUUUUGGGCCCAAAAAACGGAGAUUAUAUCCCUCCCUGGCUUUUGUUGAUUGAUCUUUUGCAUUUAUAUUCUUGCUUGAAUUUCAAUUUCAUCUAUUUUUCUCAUCUUGAUUUGGAAUAUUAUGUCUUUUCUUCUGCUGGGAGGCUGAAUCGAAUUAUGAUUCUGUAUGUUAGUUGCAGAUGUCAAUAUGCAGUAGGAUUGUAACUCAAAACCAAUGUAUAGCUUCUGUGCACUUACUAUGAAAAGCAGAAGUUACCUGUGGGUUGCAACUAAUAGCAUUUCACUGCUUUCCUUAGCGAUUUUGUGAGGGGUUGACUUUUAUCUUUUCAGGAUUGCCAGUGUGUAUUAAUCAAACAUAUAUUGCUUAUUGACUGGAAAAUUACUGUUUUAGUUUUUACUAUUACUUCUCUAUUUUACAAAGAUCAUGUGCUCUUAAAGUGAUGUUC